GACGGAGGGUGCUAGCGUUGUUCGGAAUGACUGGGCGUAAAGGGCGCGUAGGCGGCUCGUGAAGUCGGGUGUGAAAGCCCGGGGCUCAACCCCGGAACGGCAUCCGAUACUGGCGGGCUUGAGACCGGGAGAGGAGGGUGGAAUACCCAGUGUAGAGGUGAAAUGCGCAGAUAUCGGGAGGAACACCAAUGGCGAAGGCAGCUCGCUGGGACGGUACUGACGCUGAGGCGCGAAAGCGUGGGGAGCAAACAGG
RNAcentral lists this ribosomal RNA (253 nucleotides) under uncultured bacterium. RNAcentral describes it as "partial 16S ribosomal RNA". It matches the Rfam family "Bacterial small subunit ribosomal RNA", at positions 524 to 776 of the family's 1533-position model. The record is from RNAcentral.